This 227-nucleotide long non-coding RNA is filed under the name Homo sapiens (human). RNAcentral's name for it is "non-protein coding lnc-DCC-4:1". The record is from RNAcentral. Lineage: Eukaryota; Metazoa; Chordata; Mammalia; Primates; Hominidae.
AGCAAUGUUUAUUAUUACUUCAUACAGGAGACUGUGUCAAGUAUUUUACAUGUACUAAUUGUAUAUUCCUCUCAACACCUGGUGUUGAAAAUAUCAUCCCUUAGUUUACAGAUCAGGAAAAUAAAAUACAGAAAGACUUCCCCAGAGCCAGAGAGUCACCUGCUUGGAAACAGCGGGCAAGGAUUAAAAGCGAACUUCUUGGAAUCUGACGGCUGUGCCUUCAACCA